Molecule: ribosomal RNA, 257 nt
Filed under: uncultured Leptotrichia sp.
Lineage: Bacteria; Fusobacteriati; Fusobacteriota; Fusobacteriia; Fusobacteriales; Leptotrichiaceae
Description: partial 16S ribosomal RNA
Rfam family: Bacterial small subunit ribosomal RNA
Source: RNAcentral
GGCGGACGGGUGAGUAACGCGUAAGAACUUGCCCUUUAGACUGGGAUAACAGAGGGAAACUUCUGAUAAUACUGGAUAAGUUAGUAUAUCGCAUGAUAUGCAAAUGAAAGCUACGGCACUAAAGGAGAGCUUUGCGUCCUAUUAGCUAGUUGGUAAGGUAAGAGCUUACCAAGGCGAUGAUAGGUAGCCGGCCUGAGAGGGUGGACGGCCACAAGGGGACUGAGAUACGGCCCUUACUCCUACGGGAGGCAGCAGAC